GGAGUAAAAGUCGUAACAAGGUUUCCGUAGGUGAACCUGCGGAAGGAUCCUUAUUGUAUAACCGAGGUGCGAGGGCUGUCGCUGACCCGAAAGGUCGUGCACGCCCGAGUGCCCUCACACACAUCCAUCUCACCCCUAUGUGCACCACCGCGUGGGUCCCCCUUUGGCUUGUUCGGAGGGGGGCUUACGUUUUCACACAAACUUUGUAUGCAGUGUAGAAUGUAUUUUUUGUUUUUGCGAUCACGCAAUCAAUACAACUUUCAACAACGGAUCUCUUGGCUCUC
This 284-nucleotide unclassified non-coding RNA is filed under the name plant metagenome. RNAcentral describes it as "partial contains small subunit ribosomal RNA, internal transcribed spacer 1, and 5.8S ribosomal RNA". The stretch from base 1 to 53 matches the Rfam family "Eukaryotic small subunit ribosomal RNA", at positions 1779 to 1831 of the family's 1831-position model. The record is from RNAcentral.